AGUGUGGAGACAGAAGAGAAAGGGGAGUGAAGAGAAAUAUCCUUGAGAAUAAAACAGUUGGAAGGAGCAAUGAUUUAUCUUUCCAUAGGGGGAAAUAGGGAGAAGGAGAGAGUAAAUUAAGAAGAGAGGAUGGGAAGAAUUUUACAGGUUGAUCCUGGAUUGGGAAGUUUCCAGACUGGAAUGAUUACAGUCGAAAGAAGCUUUUCUCCUUAUUCUUCCUGAAGCCAGCGCACCGACUUCUCUCUUUUAAAACAAUAGCAUUACACCUUGGAUUAAUGUUAUAAAGCCCAGAGAUCUUCAGACUGAGGCCUGCAUAUCCCAGCCUGUUCUCUCAUCUAUGUGAGGUCUUUUCUUACCCUGGUCAUGGAGUGGACAAGAUGGAUGAAAGAGGGACAGGAAGAGGAGGUGGGGUGAGGAUGUGGUACUAGAGGGUUAGCUGCCCAAAUAGCUCAAGUUUCAUCACAAAGUUAAAAGACGUUAUCAGAAAUGCCAUGUCCAGACUGCUUUGCAUUACACUUUUUUCCCCCGCUUCAUAUGACGGAUCCUUCCAACAGCUAUUGCUUCUGUGGUUGCUGUGUUUGGCCAGCUUGAAAAAGAGCAUAGAAAGAUUGGGCAAAGCAUCCAGCUGCUAACCAGAGGCAAAACAGACGGAACCGCAAUGAGGGGCCAAAGAGAAAGCCAGGGCAACCACUUCACUUCCCCUUCACUUCGCAGAGAGACAGCCACUCCAUAAGCAGCACUUUUUUCGAAGAUAAAUCUCAUCUCUAAUCCGGAUGCAGAGCAGUGUCUUGUGCAAAGGAAAGGAAGCCCCGACACCACCCUGAUGACACCCACAUAAAUCACAGGUUUUAUCCCUCUGCUGUGAGGGGCCUUACAGAUCGGAGCAACGUUGCAGACUCUCAUUGGGUGAUGCUUCAUUACUUGGUGAAAAAUCCCCAGGGCCGAAACGUUAUUUAAAUGUGCUGUGAAAAUAAAUGUGAUUUA
Molecule: long non-coding RNA, 984 nt
Organism: Rhinolophus ferrumequinum (greater horseshoe bat)
Lineage: Eukaryota; Metazoa; Chordata; Mammalia; Chiroptera; Rhinolophidae
Exons: 5
Source: RefSeq, a predicted model, not a curated record